Molecule: long non-coding RNA, 216 nt
Filed under: Elaeis guineensis (African oil palm)
Lineage: Eukaryota; Viridiplantae; Streptophyta; Magnoliopsida; Arecales; Arecaceae
Description: long non-coding RNA (EGUI_LNC073731)
Source: RNAcentral
UAACCCAUCAAGUAUAUUUUCCAUCCAUACUUUAAAUGUAAGGAGGAUGCAUCCUUGUUGUAUAUUGGAUAUGUCAGAUAUUCUUUGGUGCUCCAUCCAGAUAAGUUUUCAUAUGCAGAAAAAUUAUUUAUGGUUCAUAAAAUCAAAGCAUGUAACUUAAAAUUCUUUCAACUCACAGAAUCAUAUGACUGUACUCUAUUUUUUCGUAGCUCCUUU